This is a long non-coding RNA of Carassius gibelio (silver crucian carp), 3233 nucleotides long. RefSeq lists it as uncharacterized. The transcript has 5 exons. The record is from RefSeq and is a predicted model, not a curated record. NCBI's taxonomy places the organism in Eukaryota, Metazoa, Chordata, Actinopteri, Cypriniformes, Cyprinidae.
GAUAAUUUUAAUAAAACACAAGGUCUACAUCGGAAACCUCAGAAGGGGACAACAUUUUUUAUUGUUCUUGUGCUACAGACAGUUCUUUUCUAAUAGGCCAAUUCUCAUAUCAUUUCAUUAUACUUUUCUUUUUGUUUUAGUAGGCUACUUACAAAUUUGUGCUUAAUUACCAACUAAUUAUUUUUUUAUAUUAUCAUUAUUAAAAUUAUUAUUAUUAUUUAACUUAUAGACCAUUGGGCGAAUCAACAUGAACUCUCGUUUUUUUCCUUCUUUUAAUUUUAAAUAAAAUAAUGACUGAAUGAUACACUGAAUCGGCAUCAACUAUUACGUUUCAUAAAUGAUCAAACAUCAGAAUUGUACAUCAAAAUAAAACUGUAGGCUAAUAGCAUAAACACGCUUACCUUUAAAUACGAAGUUAACGUAGAUAAUCCCCGCAGAACUGAUGAAAACGUCUUUAUUAUAGAACAAUUCUAGAACUAUUUAAUGAUAGGACCAACUUUGUACAGUCACAACCAGUUUGAUCAAUAGAUUGUUGAGUCAAAUCUCUCCAGCAACUGCCUGGGAAGUUUGAAUGUUGCCGAAGUAAGCCCAUUUCUGACCAGGCCAGUGCGCACAUCCAUGAUGCUGGAGAGUAAAGGUAGUCCCAUGUGAUUCCUAGUGUCAUCUUUUAAAAGCGAGACGAGAGAAAAUGCCCGCUCAACAUGGGCAUUGGAAACGGGCAGAACAAGAAGUCUUAUGGCACCUUGUGCCAAUUCCUGGAAACACUUGUGCCCCCCUGCAUCUUUAAACCCUUCGACUUCGAGCCAAAACUUGUCAAUGUCCUGAUCAUCAGAGAAGUUUGCGGUUGCGACAUUCCUCCACUGCGUUUCUAAUGUACCAAUGGGGCACGAGAAAAGAUCAGCUGGCAAGUCCUUUACUCCAGGCCUAUUUAUAGUGGACAUAACAGAUUUCGGGCAGAAGAGCUCCAGUUUGCUCAGGAUUUCCAUUGAAGUAGGUAAACGCAAUUGGUACUGCUUUACAAGUUCUUUUAGAAAAUCCAUAAAACGCGAAGAAAUGAUCUCCUUCAUGUCUGGGGCUAGCCUACUUUCCUUCAGUUUGUCCAUAAAUGUGGUACCCAGGUCCGCAUCCAGAGGGGAUAGGAAUAUGCCAGACUGUGUGAGGUCAAGUUCACGGAGCUGCUUGUGAUUACGCAAGACGCUCGGUUUGAGAAUGCGUCUCACAGUUGUCAUGUACAGCCUUUCCAAGUCUCUAAACACACCGAGAGAGUUUCCUGUUUCUAAUUGAAAGCAUUUAUUUACAGCUUUGAUUUCCAUCAGAACAGGCUGAAGAAAGUACAUGUAAAGGAGAUUCGUUUUGUCAUUGUACAUUUCCUUUAAAAGCCGAGCAGUAUAGCAGUGAUCUGUACUUGAAGCCAUGUUAAAGUGCAGUGUGAGGGCAUCUUUUUGAUCCACAAUACGGUUAAUGCAGUCAGCCAUCACAAGCCAACGGGUACAGCUUGGACUUAUUAAUUUCAAGGGGCAGCCCCCGUUAUUGAUAGUCUCAUAUAUGUUCUUGUACUCAUACUGCCGCUUUGCUGAAUGUGCGAACCAGUUGUAGGUUUCUCUAACCAUGUAUUCUAUGUUGCUUGGAAGAAGCUGCAUUGCUUUAUUUGCAACAAUGUCAAGCGAAUGGCAAACACAGCGAAUAAGCUGCAGGUUUGGCUGUAUUUGUUUAAGCAGGGUAAAAACCGAGUGGUUUUUUCCAACCAUUACGCUGGCACCAUCUGUGGCAAUGCCCAUCAUGUUUUUAAUCUGGAGACCGUUCUUCGAUAGAAAAGCGACAACAGUGUCUGAUAUGGCUUUAGCAUCAGCAUCUGUCAGCUCUACAAGUCCAAGAUAUGUACUUACAAACCUGCUGUGUUUUUUUGAGUGGUAUUUCACACAAAUGCAAAGAAGUUUGUUCACGGAUAUGUCAGUGCUUUCAUCGAGAUACAGGGAAUAUGGAGAAUCCCCAAUAUCCUCCACAAGUUCUUCUCUGAAGUGUGGCGCGAGGACUGAUUUGAUGAUGGCUGUACACUUUGUCCGGUGCAUUUGGAAUGUUCCCAUCUCAUCUUUCAAAAUGUCUGACAAAUCGUCCACCGCAUUUAUUGAACUGUGACAAGCAAUGUAAGCAGCGAUUCUAAUUUCACGGCGCUUUUGGUCAUCUUUGAUCGGACACAGCCCUGCUGCUCCCACUGACACAGUAAACGUUUACACAGGAACCCGCCCAAUCUGGCAACACUGCACGCAAGUUUGAGUCACACCCUGCCAAGCGAGUAACCCCAGAGUGCAGUCUGGACGAUGGGGCGGGGCGACACUUCGAGGCGGAGCGCCCAUAUUUGUUUUCCCCGCAUUCGACCUUUUGCUCCGAGCCAGCAGGGGGCAGUUUGCGUUGAAACAAACAGAACGGUGGCAACUGCAGCAGCAGAGUAAUAACGCUAUUUCACGUUGAUUGCAUGAGGAUGACAUGAUCAGGAGGAGGUGGUGUUGUUCUGUUCUCCUGGACAGCUUCACUCCGCAAAUAGUUCAACCACUGAGGGGAUGAACUUCACCAUUCACCAUGUCUUCAGGCAGAGUCCAGCAAAACAGAUGGAUAUACAACAUUUUUUUUGUCGUGCGGGAGUAGGUCUGCAAAUGAGCAACAGUCAGUGUUAUAUAUGGCUCAGUCAGUACUCCUACUCCCAUAUAUGAAAUACAGGGAAUACAAUGGAAUAGUGGAUUGCAAUAAGGUUAGUAGUAUACAACCCUACCCUAAUAGUAAAAUAAUAUUUUCUAAUCAUACCCUUUUUGGGGGCUGAGCCCCCCUAAAAUCAAAAUCUUAGAAUCGCCCCUGAUCUGAAGUAUAUUUUCAUGCAUAUAGUAAUGUAUUUGAUUUUACUUAAGGGAUGUAUUUGUAUUUUACUUAAAGGAUAGUUCACCAAAAUCAAGAACUUCAUAAUCAAGUAAUCACUGAGAAAUAAUUUACUCAUUUUCAUGUCUUUCCACUUUUUCCAUGUCCCUCAAACAUAUGAGUUUUGGCUUCCGAUAACUAUACAAUGGCUCAUUUCACUGAAUAUUUAAAAAAACUAUCAUGACCAGUGCUUUAAGUGGGCCGGUACGCACCGGUAUUCAGUACUGCCACUUCCAAAUAUAGCUCUUGAGCGUACCGCCACCUCUCCGUGCGCCCAGAACGUGCUUUUAGCGUACCGGUACGCUCAUUUGGACAUCUGUUUUAAU